RNAcentral lists this long non-coding RNA (941 nucleotides) under Medicago truncatula (barrel medic). Its description in RNAcentral is "long non-coding RNA (MTRU_LNC003640)". The record is from RNAcentral. Lineage: Eukaryota; Viridiplantae; Streptophyta; Magnoliopsida; Fabales; Fabaceae.
UCCCUGACCCUGUCCCACUAUGUUUCCAACUCCAUAAUCAGCAGGUCCUGAACCAAGAAUUAUCAGACCAAGAGGAAGUCCUACAAAUCCUGAAAAAAAGCUCAUAAAAGCUCAAUCUGAUAUGAAAGCGUAUGCAGACCGACACUGCGAAGCUCACACAUUCAAACCAGACGACUUUCUUUUUGUGAAGUUAAGGUCAUCAGUUUCCGAAAAACACCUGCAAAAGUAUGCCAAAUGCUACCACAGACCAUUUUAGCUACUGCAGCAAAUCGGAAAAGUAGCAUUCGAACUUGAACUUCCAGCCACUAGUAAAAUACGUUAUGGGAGGAAACCAGACCUGAAAAACCAUUGUAUUAGGUGAUCCAAUUUUAAUCUGUUAAAAAACAUAGUUUCAAACAUAUUUUAUUUAUUCCUUAAAACAUAGUUUUCAUUUGAAACUUUGAGUAAUAAGUAUUUAACUGAAUUAUGAGGUCAAAAUAUAAUAUGGAAUAACCAAAUUAAGCCAACAAGGAAAUGUCUGACUUUUUUCAUUUUUCCAUUUUAGGCAUUCUUGCUACCACGUGAUAAGCACACACAACAUGUGAUUUUUGAACUAUGGAGAGUAUAUGCAUCACAUGGUUUUCUUGAACUUGAACCUUAUUGUCAUUUCACAUUUGCAGACUAUUAUAUACUACAUAGAGAGCAUUUUAGCUGUUACUUGUUGAAGGAAAAAGAGAGAGAAAGAAGCAAGAGAUAAAAACUGAAGAAACGAAUGAGUGAAGUAGUGUGUUAUUUUAAUAGCAUAGCAUAGCGCAGCGUAUAUAUUAUAUGUCCCACAUUGGGAAGAUCAAGUGAAAGAGUGUGAUAGGUUGGUUAUAAAUAAGAAGUUAGUGAUACAGAAAUAGUUACAUACCUGGACGGAGUCUUUGGGUGAUCAAGGAAGCCCAUGACUUAGACUGAUG